This is a long non-coding RNA of Mauremys reevesii (Reeves's turtle), 262 nucleotides long. RefSeq lists it as uncharacterized. The transcript has 3 exons. The record is from RefSeq and is a predicted model, not a curated record. Lineage: Eukaryota; Metazoa; Chordata; Testudines; Geoemydidae.
GCCAGACCUAGAGACCCACCUCUUGCGAGCUGCCCUUCGCUCCAUCUUCACCCUGGGCACGGAGAAGGACACCAUCAACAUCCAGGCUCUGCACAAAGUCAUGCCAGAGCUCCUGGAUGCCAUGCUGGGGAACCUGCUGGCAGAGUCCCCAGACGCAGACAGGCUCCACUCCAUCUUGGAGAUCUCAGCAGAGUUCCCUAGGAUGGGUCACCAUGUGGCACAGCUGGCUCUGUUUGUCAGUGACCCGGACAAGGACAUCAGC